RNAcentral lists this long non-coding RNA (428 nucleotides) under Carica papaya (papaya). RNAcentral describes it as "long non-coding RNA (CPAP_LNC002871)". Lineage: Eukaryota; Viridiplantae; Streptophyta; Magnoliopsida; Brassicales; Caricaceae. The record is from RNAcentral.
UUAUCAAUCAAAGCAUAAGCCGUAAAAUUAUGAAUAGAAGGCAUAUCCUAAAUAAUAACUAGUGUCACCACAGCACCAGGCUUGUCAUGGUGGAAUACCCUUCCUCUGGCAAUGGGUCUAGCAGUAUCCCUAAGCUUUUUGAAGACAGCCAUUCACAAAGUGUUAUGUACUCCCGCACUUGUAGCAGACAUUGUUCAACUCAUAGUAUGGUCAAUUACCAUGGUUUCGAUCAUAAUGCUAACAUGCCUGAAUAGGCUGAGAAGGAUUACCUGGAGGUGGAGGUGGAGCAAUAGCUACAGUAAGAAUCAUUAUGGGUCCCUUGUCAACACGACCUUGAUAAAUAUGCAUUAUUAUUUGUUGGUGUUGUGCUUUGACAUUAUAGAUGCGUCGGUAACAGGUAAUAAGGAGUUCCUCUGCCAACUGGGGAU